Molecule: ribosomal RNA, 957 nt
Filed under: uncultured Fibrobacter sp.
Lineage: Bacteria; Pseudomonadati; Fibrobacterota; Fibrobacteria; Fibrobacterales; Fibrobacteraceae
Also listed under: 1 other name
Description: bacterial SSU rRNA
Rfam family: Bacterial small subunit ribosomal RNA
Source: RNAcentral
AGAGUUUGACCCUGGCUCAGGAUGAACGCUAGCGAAAUGCCUAACACAUGCAAGUCGAACGGACCUUGCGUCGUAGCAAUACGUAGUAAGGUUAGUGGCAAACGAGCGAGUAACGCGUGCUUAACCUGCCCCGAAGUUGGGUAUAACUACAGAGAUGUAGCUAAUUCCCAAUAUGCUCACGAUGGUGAAAUCCCAAUGGGAGGAAAGAUUUAUCGCUUCGGGAGGGGGGUGCGUCCUAUCAGAUAGUUGGUGAGGUAACGGCUUACCAAGUCUAUGACGGGUAACCGGUCUGAGAUGAUGUCCGGUCGCGAUGGGACUGAGAUACGGCCCAUACUCCUACGGGAGGCAGCAGUGGGGAAUCUUGCACAAUGGACGAAAGUCUGAUGCAGCAAUUUCGCGUGAAGGAUGAAGCAUUACGGUGUGUAAACUUCUUUUUUGGCAGAAGACGAAUGACGGUAUGUCAAGAAUAAGAGACGGCUAACUACGUGCCAGCAGCCGCGGUAAUACGUAGGUCUCAAGCGUUAUCCGGAUUUACUGGGCGUAAAGUGUCCGUAAUCUGAAUUAUAAGUCUGUCUUCAAAGACCACGACUCAAUCGUGGGAAGGGGGUGGAUACUGUAAUUCUGGAAGUAUCUGGGGGUUAGUGGAAUUUCCGGUGGAGCGGUGAAAUGCGUUGAUAUCGGAAGGAACGCCGAAAGCGAAAGCAGCUAACUACAGAAUACUUGACGAUGAGGGACGACAGUUCGGGUAGCAAACAGGAUUAGAUACCCUGGUAGUCCGAACCGUAAAUUAUGCUUGCUAGAUGUUUUUGUCAAUUUAUUGGCAGGAGUGUCGUAAUCUAACGAGUUAAGCAAGUCGCCUGGGUAGUAUAUUCGCAAGAAUGAAACUCAAAGGGAUAGGCGGGGGAACACACAAGCAGUGGAUUAUCUAGAUUAAUUGGAUAAUAAGCCAAGAAUCUU